Molecule: long non-coding RNA, 493 nt
Filed under: Bos taurus (domestic cattle)
Lineage: Eukaryota; Metazoa; Chordata; Mammalia; Artiodactyla; Bovidae
Description: long non-coding RNA NONBTAT022265
Source: RNAcentral
GUUACUAAUGUUUCCUAUUUAUUCAUUAAUAAAAAGUGCAUAGUACAAGCCCUUUUUCCCAAUCCAAGUACUCAGUAAAAGAUUACAAUAAACCCUGGAUGGCACAGACAUGAUUUGUUUGGCAUGAUUUAAACAUUUAAAAACAGCAGUUAACAUUUGGUACAUCACAUGACCACUUUUGCUUUUAACAAAGUAAUCAUCAGACACAGUAACAAAUACAUAUGACUUUUCAUUUAGAAAUGUUAUAAAGUUAAGACUAAACCUACUAUUGCAACAACAAAAAUUUCACCCAUUAAUUUAAACUCUCGAUUUCUCCUUCAAGUUGCUGUUUUGUGUCUUAAGCUGAGCUGGUCAAAUUUUAGCACAUAUUCAUUGACAGACUUUGAUUCAGGGUGUGAGACUUCUGAGGUUCCUUUGAAAAUAUAAGAUACAGAUAAUUUAUAAACACUGUAACAUCGCAUAUCACAAAGACACUAAAAGUAACCACUGAAUG